This 538-nucleotide ribosomal RNA is filed under the name Kregervanrija fluxuum. RNAcentral's name for it is "partial large subunit ribosomal RNA". It matches the Rfam family "Eukaryotic large subunit ribosomal RNA", at positions 62 to 607 of the family's 3401-position model. The record is from RNAcentral. Lineage: Eukaryota; Fungi; Ascomycota; Pichiomycetes; Pichiales; Pichiaceae.
AAACCAACAGGGAUUGCCUCAGUAGCGGCGAGUGAAGCGGCAAAAGCUCAAAUUUGAAAUCUGGUAGUUCUGCUACCCGAGUUGUAAUUUGUAGAAAACUGUCUUUGUUAGGGUGCCUGUCUAAGUUCCUUGGAACAGGACGUCGCAGAGGGUGAGAAUCCCGUGUGAUGGGUGGCCCGAGCUUUUAAGGCGUUUUCGAAGAGUCGAGUUGUUUGGGAAUGCAGCUCUAAGUGGGUGGUAAAUUCCAUCUAAAGCUAAAUAUUGGCGAGAGACCGAUAGCGAACAAGUACAGUGAUGGAAAGAUGAAAAGAACUUUGAAAAGAGAGUGAAACAGUACGUGAAAUUGUUGAAAGGGAAGGGUAUUUGAUCCGACAUGGGAUUUACUCAUCAUUGCUCCUUGUGGGUGGUGCUCUGGGUUUUUUCUGGGCCAGAAUCAGUUUGUGUGGCAGGAUAAAGGCGUGAGGAAGUAGCUCUUCUGGAGCAAUAUAACUCAUGUUAAUACUGCCUAUGCGGACUGAGGAAUGCGGUUACCAAGAUC